Molecule: RNA transcript, 2661 nt
Organism: Drosophila mojavensis
Lineage: Eukaryota; Metazoa; Arthropoda; Insecta; Diptera; Drosophilidae
Exons: 6
Source: RefSeq, a predicted model, not a curated record
UUCCCAUUUUCCAUGUUGCCCCAAAAAAACUUUUCCCUUGAAUUGCUUUAUUUUUAAUGAGUUUUUUUCGUUCGAUUUUCCUAAUUCUAUUUCUUUGAGUGUUUUGGCUCAAUUAUUUUUAUGAGUGUAGCAGACUAGCUAGAGAGGGCCAAGGAGGUCGGGCGCGUGGGGCAGCCGUCGAUGAUGACACUGAAAGACGCGCUGCUUUUGCUUUGAGCUAGCCCUAGCCCCGCCCCUGCCCCUGUCCCCGCCUCUGCCCCUGCUCACCACCCGUCCCACCGCAUGUUAUCGUUAAUCGAUGGUCGCCCAUCAACAAAACUGAAAGCAAACAAGCAACAGGAGACGCUUUUGGGGUUGGCUGCGCUGUCAACGUUGCCGUUGCGGUCGACGUCGACUUUGAACAAAUAUAUAAAUAUAUAUAUUAUCAGCAGCAGCAGCAGCAGCGGCAGCAGCAGCAGCAGAAGCAACAGCGCAGCAGAGGCGAGCGUGCUGUGGCGACUCCUAAACAGCAUGACACUUGUAGUCACAAGUAGGCAGCUUGGCGCACUAGUCGCAUAACUGUAAUUCACACCUGGACACUGGCCGCACGUAUCCUGUGCUCAAUAGGAAGAAGCCUGUUCGCUAGGCACUUCUCUCCAGCUGCUGCUGCUGCUACGGCUGCGUGCGUCGCUCUCAAGGUCGCGCGUCGUCGUCGUCGUCGUCGCGUCGCGUCGGUCUAAUAAAAUAAUUCAAUUAAAAAUAAGCAAAAUACGUCGCAGCCAAAAACAUAUAGCUAUAUCGGAUAUAUAUAUACAAUAUAUAUAAAAUUUGUUUAAAAUGCUGGCGGCCCAAGAGAAUCGUUUUCAAUAUGUUUACUUUACGCUCUCCGGCUUGGUCGCCUGCAUCAUGCUCAUUCUCUUCUAUAUCUCAAUGCGCACAACCAUUAAUGAACGCCUGCGCGAUGAUCUCAAGCAGAUGCAGCGCCAAUUGCUCUACCCAAAGCCCAAUCCGCACUGGAACUACAACAACAGCUGGCGGCGCAUUGGCAAUGCCUCGCUACGGCAUGAAAUAUACUCGGCAUAUUUCGAUGCACGCACGGAUAUAGUGGGCCGCGUUCGCCUGGAUGAGGAGAUCACCAUUGGUUCGCUGCGAGUUUUCGCCAUUCUGCCAGAGCGACUGCGCGACUCGCAGAUCAGCUGCAUCGUGCGCUUCGCGGACUUCAGCAGCUAUGAGAUUGUGGCCGAGGAGGCGGGCGCCAUGCACGACGUGCACAACAACAGCUUCGCCGCCUGGAGCAUCAUGUGUCCGUUGCACGUGGCCAAGAGCUCGCCCGUGCAGCUGCCGCAGGCCGUGGCACUGAGCUACGCCUCCAAUCGGCUGAGUCAUCUCAGUCCCAGCUACGUGCAGAUCAGCUAUCCGCGGAACAUGUCCGAGCUGUUUGCCAAGUCGCGUGCCACGAUUUCCGUGUGCGUCGGACCCAUCCAGGAGAACUACUCAAAUGUGCUGCGCCUGGUCGAGUUCGUGGAGAUGUAUCGGCUGCAGGGCGCGACGCACUUCUACUUCUACUACGUGGAGGCCAGCGAGGAGGUGCGUCGCGUGCUGGAGCACUAUCGGCUGCGGGGCCUGGCCGAUGUCUUCGAGUGGAACGUGCAGUCGCAUCUGCAGGAUCUGCACUACGCCGGGAUUGUGGCGCAGUUCAACGACUGCGUCUAUCGCGCCAAUGUCGUGGACAACUAUCGCUAUGCGGCAGUCGUUGACCUGGACGAGGUGCUGAUGCCCCUCAAGCACAACUCCCUGGCGGACUAUCUGCGUCAGUGCGACGAGGGGCGCAGCUCGGGCUUCGUCUUUCGCAACGUGUUCUUCUACCGCAAGGACAGCAACGACACCUUCAAUGCGCCCGCCCACGUCAUGAACCGGCUGCUCUACACCCAGUCGAAGGUGCGCCGCACCCUGGAGGUGCUGCCCGCCUACAUCAGGAGCAAAGUCGUCGUCAACACGCGCGGCAUUGUCGAGAUGGGCAACCACCAGGUGUACCGCUCCGCGCCGGGCUACGUCGAUCACAUCGUGCACCAGACGGUCGGGCUGCUCUUCCACUAUCGCGACAAGUGCAUCAACUGCAAAAUGGUGCUCAUUGUGGACUAUACGGCGCGGCGCUUUGGCUCGCUGCUCUUCGAUCGCGUCGACGCCACAUGCCUCGAGGUCUUCAUGGAGCGAAAUGGCAUCUGCCAGCUGGCGUAGCCCCAACUGUGCCUUAUCACCAAUUGCCGUUAACGCCCCCAAUGGAAGAGCGCCGAGUGUUGAGUGCUGCGAAUCAGCGGAGCGCAGCUGAUGUCCAGUCUGGAGUCAACUCUUGCAGUCGCAACAUGCUUAAGUUCUGUUCGCUGCGUCGCGGGCAAUCGAAGCCGACGUCGACGUCGCCAGCGGCGCCGCCUCUGCCCGCCAAACGUGUGUCCAAAAGUUCGUCGCUGCGCCUGCAGGAUGUCGCCUUGAGCGAUGCGCAGCUGUUAAGUGUGCUCAAGGCGCAGCGUGCGCGCGGCCCUUUAAUAUUGGCGCUCAGCAGUGCACAAACAACAGCAACGAAAAUUGUGGAACCGGAAACGGAAGUGGCGUCUUGCCAGCAUUGUGGCACGCCAUAUUCGACUCGCAAAACUCAAGCAGAGCAAAAUGGCAGCACAGCAACAC